GUGCUCGCUUAGGCAGUGCACAUACUAAAAUUGGAACGAUACAGAGAAGAUUAGCAUGGCCCUUGCGCAAGGAUGACACACAAAUUCGUGAAGCGUUCCAUAUUUUU
This 107-nucleotide small nuclear RNA is filed under the name Dasypus novemcinctus (nine-banded armadillo). Lineage: Eukaryota; Metazoa; Chordata; Mammalia; Cingulata; Dasypodidae. The record is from RNAcentral.